Long non-coding RNA from Trifolium pratense (red clover), 839 nucleotides. RefSeq lists it as uncharacterized. The transcript is spliced from 3 exons. Lineage: Eukaryota; Viridiplantae; Streptophyta; Magnoliopsida; Fabales; Fabaceae. The record is from RefSeq and is a predicted model, not a curated record.
AUGAAAAAGCUAUGGUGAUUGAAGUUUUAGAGGAAAUUAGCGAUGGGGAAGAAAGAUGGUCUUAAAUCUAUACUCAGUUCUGCAGGAACAACACAAUUCAUUGGAUUGGAUCUUGUUCUUUGUGGAUCUGGAUUGAAAACGAAGAAAGAAAAAAAAAGGUCAAUGGCACAACAGCAAUGAAGAUUGAAGUGGGUUUAGGAGGAAGUGGGUUAUGGAAUGAAGAUGAAAAAGCUAUGGUGAUUGAAGUUUUAGAGGAAAUUAGCGAUGGGGAAGAAAGAUGGUCUUAAAUCUAUACUCAGUUCUGCAGGAACAACACAAUUCAUUGGAUUGGAUCUUGUUCUUUGUGGAUCUGGAUUGAAAACAAAGAAAAAAAAAAAAGGUCAAUGGCACAACAGCAAUGAAGAUUGAAGUGGGUUUAGGAGGAAGUGGGUUAUGGAAUGAAGAUGAAAAAGCUAUGGUGAUUGAAGUUUUAGAGGAAAUUAGCGAUGGGGAAGAAAGAUGGUCUUAAAUCUAUACUCAGUUCUGCAGGAACAACACAAUUCAUUGGAUUGGAUCUUGUUCUUUGUGGAUCUGGAUUGAAAACGAAAAAAAAAAAAAAAAAAGGUCAAUGGCACAACAACAGUAAGUUGUUGCAUGUUGUUUUCUUUGUAGUAAUAUUUUAGAGAUUUUAAUUCAGACACGCAAAACAAUGCUGGUCAAUGGCGGAAGUGGCAGUUCCGCCAUGCCUUUUUGAUGGCGCAGUUGUGGGUUCCGCCAUUGAUGGGGACCUGCAUGCGUCAGUUUUUGUCCCAAAAUAGGGGUAUUACGGAAUUAUUUUUGAAAAUAGGGGUAUUACGGAA